This 406-nucleotide ribosomal RNA is filed under the name uncultured bacterium. RNAcentral describes it as "partial 16S ribosomal RNA". It matches the Rfam family "Bacterial small subunit ribosomal RNA", at positions 30 to 526 of the family's 1533-position model. The record is from RNAcentral.
AUUGAACGCUGGCGGCAGGCCUAACACAUGCAAGUCGAACGAGUGGCGGACGGGUGAGUAAUGUCUGGGAAACUGCCUGAUGGAGGGGGAUAACUACUGGAAACGGUAGCUAAUAACGCAUACCAUCGGAUGUGCCCAGAUGGGAUUAGCUAGUAGGUGGGGUAAAGGCGCACCUAGGCGACGAUCCCUAGCUGGUCUGCGAGGAUGACCAGCCACACUGGAAUGGAGACACGGUACUGACGCCUACUGGAGGCAGAAGUGGGGAAAAUUGCACAAUGGGCGCAAGCAUGAUGCAGCCAUGCCGCGUGUAUGAAGAAGGCAUUCGGGUUGUAAAGUACUUUCAGCGGGGAGGCGUUACCCGCAGAAGAAGCACCGGCUAACUCCGUGCCAGCAGCCGCGGUAAUAC